CUCAAUAAAGCAAACACGGGGGAUAUACACCGUUUCGUCUUCGGAUGGCGACUAGGCGACUUGGCGCAGCCCUAAAUCUGCGCAUUCAUAAUCUUAUCCUACGCAUCUCUCCUCUCUCCCUCUUUCUUCGUCUGCAAAUUCCCGAGAAAAAUGGGGGCUUCGCUUCCACCCAAGGAGGCUAAUCUCUUCAAGCUCAUUGUUAUGCUAUAUAAUGCUGUAUGAUACUCCUUCAAAAUCGGCAACUGAAGAAGAUGAUGAAAUGUCAAAGUUGCUUCCUUCUCAGAAAAAGAAGAUGAGACAAAAGCAGAGAAAAGCAGAAGCCCAUGCAAAGAAAGAGGCUGAAGAGAAGAAUGAAGAGGAAUCAAUUGCAGCUGGUGUCUCUUAAGACUGGUAAGCGGCAACAUGCCAAACCAGUAGAAACAUGCCAAACCAGUAGAUCCUGAUCCCAGUGGGGAGAAGUUGUUGCAGGUUGAAGAUCCAUUAUCAGAAGCUACAAAAUACUUGCAGCUACUUCAGAAGCAUUCGUUGGAGUCCUUGGAGACACACCUACUUUCUUUUGAAGUGAACAUGAGGAAGCAGAAGAUUUUGCUUGCUUUUCAGGACUUGGAACUACACUUUUUUUCCCCCAGGCUGUAAAGCGGCUUCUUAGGUUGGAUGCAGAUAACCCAGCUUCACAUCGAUGCUUGAUAAGUUUCUUCCAUCAAGUGGGAUCCAUGGCAGCUCCUGCAUCUGAUUCAGAAAAACUUAUUUGGAGUGUUUUAGUAUCAGAGCGUCCAGAUUUGAGUCUUAUAUGGGAAAUCUCUGAUUGAAGCAAAUAGCCAUUUCUUAGAGAAACACAAAGAUUCAUUGAAGCAUAGAGCAGCAUCAGCAGAAAUGCUUUAUGUCUUGGAACCUGAAAAAAAUUCAGAGGCUGUCAAAAUUAUUGAAGAUUCAACCAACAAUCUCAUGUUGAUAAAUGGAGCAUUGCGACCUGUCAAGGAAUGGAAGCUCAGAAACUGUAUUUCAGUUCACAAACUACUUGGAAUGGUCUUGGUUGACCCUGAUGCUGCAUCCAGGUGGAAAGCACAGUGUGCUGAGUACUUCCCUUUCUCAACAUACUUUGAAGGCCCUUGUAGCUCAGCCAUCGCAAAGUCUGCUGAGGAAAAGAUAUCUAAGGCACCUCAAAAUGGGGGCCCAGACCAUGAGGUAGUUUUGCAGAGUGGUCGACCUCAUUCCUCAAAUGGAAAAGUAGAGGUUUUCAAGGACCUUACCAUUUGAACUGAGUCUUCUGCUAACCCAUCUGCAAGAGUCAUAAGAUACUAAAAAGGUAUACCAAGAGAGAAUUCCAAGAUUUGGAACCAUGCCAGGCUCGGGGACCAAAAAAAAGUGAACCUGAGUACUCUGGAAAGAGAGGAGGCAGCUCAAGCCCUAAGAUUUUUCCAUGACGUGUUUUUGAGGAAAUUUGCAGUGAGCAAAUUGAUUUUGCAUUGAGACUGGGUUUCUUUUUUGUUUCUCUGCAUGGCCUUUCUUCUUCUCAAAAAAGAAAAAGUUUGUGACAUUGCAGGAUGGAUUCUGCUAGAAAUGUGUAUAUUUAGUUCAUUGUGUUGUGAGAGCCCUAUUUUCGCUUCCAUUCGAUCAACAAAAUGGAAGGUGGUGAGUUUGAGGGGUUAUUGCUAGCAGCAUUUCAAGGCCAUAAUGUUUUGGGGCCAAGGAAGUUUUUUCUUUGGGUCCUUUAGGUUAGGGCACAACAUGGCAGUCAUAACCUUGACGAGCUGAUCACCAGUGAUUCCAUUCAGCUCUCUUUUAAUUCUUGGCCAUUAUUUAUUCAUCUUAAAUGUAUACACUAUGAAACAUUGAAAAUUUUGGCAGUCACAUUGUAUCCA
Macadamia integrifolia is the source of this 1862-nucleotide RNA transcript. It is a transcript of the gene named N-terminal acetyltransferase A complex auxiliary subunit NAA15-like, with no coding region annotated. NCBI's taxonomy places the organism in Eukaryota, Viridiplantae, Streptophyta, Magnoliopsida, Proteales, Proteaceae. The transcript is spliced from 10 exons. The record is from RefSeq and is a predicted model, not a curated record.